Molecule: ribosomal RNA, 388 nt
Filed under: uncultured bacterium
Lineage: Bacteria
Description: bacterial SSU rRNA
Rfam family: Bacterial small subunit ribosomal RNA
Source: RNAcentral
GGCGAACGCUGGCGGCGUGCUUAACACAUGCAAGUCGAGCGGUAAGGCCCUUUCGGGGGUACGACGAGCGGCGAACGGGUGAGUAACACGUGGGUGACCUGCCCUUAGCUCUGGGAUAAGCCUGGGAAACUGGGUCUAAUACCGGAUAUGACUCCAUGACGCAUGUUGUGGGGUGGAAAGCCUUGUGCGGCUAGGGAUGGGCCCGCGGCCUAUCAGCUUGUUGGUGGGGUGAUGGCCUACCAAGGCGACGACGGGUAGCCGGCCUGAGAGGGCGACCGGCCACACUGGGACUGAGACACGGCCCAGACUCCUACGGGAGGCAGCAGUGGGGAAUCUUGCGCAAUGGGCGAAAGCCUGACGCAGCGACGCCGCGUGGGGAUGACGGCCU